Molecule: transfer RNA, 72 nt
Filed under: Camelus bactrianus (Bactrian camel)
Lineage: Eukaryota; Metazoa; Chordata; Mammalia; Artiodactyla; Camelidae
Also listed under: 2 other names
Rfam family: tRNA
About the family: Transfer RNA (tRNA) molecules are approximately 80 nucleotides in length. Their secondary structure includes four short double-helical elements and three loops (D, anti-codon, and T loops).
Source: Rfam by way of RNAcentral
GAGGGUAUAGUUCAGUGGUAGAGUGCAUGCCUAGCAUGCAUGAGGUCCUGGGUUCAAUCCCCAGUAUCUCCA